Molecule: ribosomal RNA, 303 nt
Filed under: uncultured bacterium
Lineage: Bacteria
Description: partial 16S ribosomal RNA
Rfam family: Bacterial small subunit ribosomal RNA
Source: RNAcentral
AGCAGCAGCCGCGGUAAUACGAAGGGGGCUAGCGUUGUUCGGAUUUACUGGGCGUAAAGGGCGCGUAGGCGGACUGAUAAGUCAGGGGUGAAAUCCCAAGGCUCAACCUUGGAACUGCCUUUGAUACUGUCUGUCUUGAGUUCGAGAGAGGUAAGAGGAACUGCGAGUGUAGAGGUGAAAUUCGUAGAUAUUCGCAAGAACACCAGUGGCGAAGGCGGCUUACUGGCUCGAAACUGACGCUGAGGCGCGAAAGCGUGGGGAGCAAACAGGAUUAGAUACCCGUGUAGUCCCUGUCUCUUAUAC